RNAcentral lists this ribosomal RNA (510 nucleotides) under uncultured fungus. RNAcentral's name for it is "SSU rRNA". It matches the Rfam family "Eukaryotic small subunit ribosomal RNA", at positions 569 to 1081 of the family's 1831-position model. Lineage: Eukaryota; Fungi. The record is from RNAcentral.
AGCAGCCGCGGUAAUUCCAGCUCCAAUAGCGUAUAUUAAAGUUGUUGCAGUUAAAAAGCUCGUAGUUGAAUUUCGGGAUCAAUAUGUCGGUCGUGCUUAGGUACGUACUGGCAUCAUUGGUUUCUCCUUUCUGAUGAACCAUGAUGCCAUUAAUUUGGUGUUAUGGGGAAUCAGGACUGUUACCUUGAAAAAAUUAGAGUGUUUAAAGCAGGCUCACGCUUGAAUACAUUAGCAUGGAAUAAUGAAAUAGGACGUUUGAUUCUAUUUUGUUGGUUUCUAGGAUCGACGUAAUGAUUAAUAGGGAUAGUUGGGGGCAUUAGUAUUCAAUUGUCAGAGGUGAAAUUCUUGGAUUUAUUGAAGACUAACUACUGCGAAAGCAUUUGCCAAGGAUGUUUUCAUUAAUCAAGAACGAAAGUUAGGGGAUCGAAGACGAUCAGAUACCGUCGUAGUCUUAACCAUAAACUAUGCCGACUAGGGAUCGGAUGAUGUUAAUUUUUUAAUGACUCAUUC